Molecule: unclassified non-coding RNA, 154 nt
Filed under: uncultured Herpotrichiellaceae
Lineage: Eukaryota; Fungi; Ascomycota; Eurotiomycetes; Chaetothyriales; Herpotrichiellaceae
Description: sequence contains ITS2
Source: RNAcentral
UCACGGUAUCAAGCUUGGCUUGGUGUUGAGCCCUUUGUCACCUGGUGACAGGUCCGAAAGACAAUGACUGGUGUAACAGACUCCAUAUGCAACGAGCUUAUAACAGCACGCAUUUGGCAGUUGUGUGACCAGGUCUUCACCCUUUCUUUCUCAA